Molecule: long non-coding RNA, 5101 nt
Organism: Mirounga angustirostris (Northern elephant seal)
Lineage: Eukaryota; Metazoa; Chordata; Mammalia; Carnivora; Phocidae
Exons: 3
Source: RefSeq, a predicted model, not a curated record
UAUUGUUCUGGGUUCCCUGUUGUAACUUAAAGGGAAACUUUCACAAUAUCCAGAGCCCUUGACGUCCUUCAAACAAAGGAAGAGGAUGUCCUCAAAUUUUUGUAGCAGGAUCCCAUUUGGGUGGCACCAGCCUUGACUUCCAAACGGAACACUACAUCUACAGAAGGAAAAGUGGUGGCAUCUACAGCAUUAAUUAAAGAGAACCUGGGAGAAGCUGCCACUAGCAGCUUGUGCCAUUGUUAGCUGAAAACUCAGCUGGUGUCUGUGUAUAACAUCCUCCAGGAAUACCGGCCAGGGAGUUACGCUGACGUUUUCUGCCCCUGGAGCCCCUGGAGCCCCUGGAGCCACUCCCAUUGCUGGCUGCUUCACUUCCCCGCGCCUUCGCUAAUCAGAUCCAGGCAGCCUUGCGAGAGCCGAGACUUCCGACGGUUACCGAGUCCAGGGCUGACCACCAGCCUCUCACAGAGGAGUCUUAUGUUAACUGCCUACCAUUGCUCUAUGUGACACAGACCCUCCUCUGUGCCAUGUGGACAGUACCAUCUCAUGCAGCAACAAAGGCGUUCACUCGGCGAAUCUGACCGCGGGACGCGGGCCCCGGCAAGUUCUGCGCAUGCGCGGCACCACCUUCCAUGAGAAGCCACGGGAGGUCAUGCCUGGUGUCUACUGCAGAGUUAAUGGAAGAAGCGAAAAAGAAGAGCACCUCUGCUGAAAAGGCUGUGACCAAGGGGAAUUUGACGGUGAAUGGACCACUCCAGCUCCUGAGUUUUCUGCUACUGAAUUUGCGGUUGCCUGCUGUGUGUAAAGGAGCUCAGGUGUCCUCCCUGCCUCUUCAGCAAGUUCCCUGAGCAAGAGCGGAGCACGCAACCCGCCCUCGAAGACGGGUCUGUAGCUCCCACAGUUCAGGCCACUGAAUGGGUAAGAGCAACCACUGGGUGGUCUUAAACUGUUUCUCCAUGGACUCUAGAACAGAAAAUGGAAAUAAGGGUGAUGAAAAAUAAGCAGUAUCUUUUUUUUUUUUAAGAUUUAUUUAUUUAUUUAUUAGAGAGAGAGCAUGAGAGGGGGGAGGGUCAGAGGGAGAAGCAGGCUCCCCGCCGAGCAAGGAGCCCGAUGCGGGACUCGAUCCGGGACUCCAGGAUCAUGACCUGAGCCGAAGGCAGUCGCUUAACCAACUGAGCCACCCAGGCGCCCAAUAAGCAGUAUCUUUAAAGAAAAAAAAAGGGAUUCAACAAAAGCAAGUGUUAUGGACAAAAUGUAUCCCCCUCAAUAUGAAGCAGAAUGUGCCCCACUUCAUAUGUUGAAACCCUGUGUCUCUGAUGUGACUGUAUUUGGAGACAGUGCCUGUAGGGAGGUAAUUAAGGUUAAAUGAAGUCAUAAGGGUGGAGCCCUGGUCCCAUAGGACUGAUAUCCUUAUAAGAAGACUGAAGAGACACCAGAAUUCACAUUCCCUUCCCACAAGAGCAAAGAGAAGAGGCCAUCUGUAAGCCAAGAGGAGAACCCUCACCAGAAACCAGCCCUGAGGACAUUUGAUCUUGGACUUUGACCUCCAGAACUCAUGCUUUGAUUGAGAUAGUGCAAUCAACAGUGUGAGAAUGGCAUAAAAGCUCACAGUACAUUACGAGGCUAUUACUGGUUUGGAGAAAGCUUGGUGUCCAGGAGGUCAUAAGCCCCCCAGGGAUGACAGAUAGAUGGUCACUUCAUGAUGUCAUGUGGAAUACCACUAUCUUCAAUGUCUUAUCAGAUGCUCAAGUGGAUUUUUAUAGAGUUAAAAACAUUACAAUAAAAUGGAUGGGAUGGCGAAGACUAUCCUUCCAUGUUAAAAUGAAACGGAAGGCUGCAAGUUAACCGGAGAUAAGAAUUUACAGUGAGAACAAAAGAAGGCAUAAAAAGAGUCCCGAGUAACAUUUAAAUGUUGCAUAGAAGAGAAGCAGAAAAAAUGUGAUACAGUGGCCAAAGGAAGAAAAGAGGAAAGCCAGGAGGAUUUGGUUUCACUGAAGCCAAGGUAAGAGGAUUUCUAGGAAAGAGAAACCAACUAUAUGGAAAGUUCAUGGGAUGUUACUUUUCAAGUGAGUCACUAAGAAGGUCCAUUAGAAUUGACAAAAUUGUGGUUAACUGGUGAUUUUUUAGCAUAAAUUCAGUAGAGUGAUAGAAAUAUUGGUGAGAGUGAAAAGUUGUUUAGAAGGGCACCUGGGUGGCUCAGUUGGUUAAGCGACUGCCUUCAGCUCAGGUCAUGAUCCUGGAGUCCCGGGAUCGAGUCCCGCAUCGGGCUCCCUGCUCGGCAGGGAGUCUGCUUCUCCCUCUGAUCCUCCCCCUCUCAUGCUCUCUCUCUCUGUCUCAUUCUCUCUCUCAAAUAAAUAAAAUCUUUAAAAAAAAAAAGUUGUUUAGAAGGACACUGUGACUUCUCAAGUUCUCUUUAGACAUUUUAAAGUCUUAAAAAAUAUUUAGUUAAAGCUUAGUAUAUCCAGGGGUCAUGGUGAAGAUUUGGUUUAAAAUAAGAAGUGAUAACACUUACAUCUGAAUUUUUUCCCUUUUGAAAUGAAAGAUACCGAGUUUUUACUGUGCCUUCAUUUUAAAUACACAAACAUUAACAUAUGGAAAUAUGAUGGCUAGUAUCCCGAAUGAAAUGCUUAUAAAAAAACAGACAAAAAGCUGCACUUAAAAAAAUAUUUAACCAAAAAAUUUUGCUUCCUUUGCAUUUUGCUAGUGAAAUGUCUGCUUUGCUGGAUGCCACUGAAUGUAGCACAGUAGAUACAAAUUUAACCUAAAAGUGACAGAGUCAUAUAUUUUAAUAUGAUAGAAAAACAUCUUACUAUUUAUUAACCCUCUACUUUAUGCAAGACUCUUUGCCUUUAAUUAUCUAACUUUAUUUAUGUAAUAAUCCAAUAAAUGGAAAAUUAUAUGUAUUGAUGAAUGGAAUUAGAAGAAAAUUAAAUGAAAUUGUUUUUGAAUUUGGAAAGACCAUUGCAUAACACUUUGAUUUGUAAGCCAACAAUGGAAGAACCCAUUCCUAUUAGGGUCUGGAAGCAUUCAGGUCACGUUGCUUUCAGGAUCAUUUGAGAUACUUCUAUUUGAAUAGUCUUGGCUUAUGUUAAAAGUCUUUAUUCUUGCUUUGUGUACAUUAGAGGGAUGCUUAGCAACCUUGUGGUUGUAAUAUUUCUGAAGCUCUUGGGUCACUUUCAGUGAAUAUCAAUUCAAACAGCAUGGGUCUUGAAAAGGUUGAUUUACAGCUUUGCAUUUAGAACAAGAACAACACAUGUCUUCCUGGGCUCAGGGAAGUCAUCUUAAUCUCUUCUGUCUCUGUUUUUCUUACCAUGUCUCCUCCUGCACUAUCUAGAUCCUGGAUCAAAGGUAAGCAGACCCAGAGUCCUUAAAUACUGUAUCCUUCUCACUGGUCGGAAAGAGGCCUGCAUCCUAUUCUAUUUGGAGCAUACCUGGAGACGUUUUUAUCUAGUCCUUUCAGCUGAGUCAGAGGGGUUAAAGAGCCCGUCUUUUAUUCAGGGCCCUCACUUAACCACCAUCAACUCGGGCUUUACUACAGCAUAUAAUAAACAGAAAGACUUGGAAAAAAAGAGAGAGACACUGCCAAAAUUGUGUUUGACUCACUCAGAAACAGAUUUUUUACUCACAGCAUGGUUGGAAGAAAAAAAAAAGUGCUAACAGUGUUAGACCAGCUAAAACCAUUGUCCAGAAACCUCUAAAUCUCUAUUUAAACCCAGGCUAAGGGGAAGGAAUGGUGGUAGAGCUGAAGCAGCAAUGAGAUAACGAAAGGCCAGAUUUGUCAUGACCUUUGUGUGAUCUUGGACAAAUCACCUCUCUGUUUUGAGGUUCCCGAAUCAAUAAAAUGAGAAGAUUCUAUUAAAUGACUCCAAAGGAUCCAUUGAGCUCUUAGAUUCAAAUAUUCAUUUCUACACUCUAGACAAAGCUUGGAGGUGAACUCUGAAUAUCUAGUUGGUGAGAAUAUUACUCAUAAUAAUUUUAAUGACUCGUUGUUGUAGGCCUGAAGAAUGGGUUUUCAAAAACAGCUCUCCAAGGUAUUUCAAUAUAGCACCAUACUCAUGACUCAAUCUUUCUUUAUUGAAUGUUUGCACAGAUAGGCAGAAAGAUAGAAUAAUUUCUUUUACCUUCUGGAAUGUAAUAGUUUCAAUUACUUGCCACAUAUCUCAUGCUUUUAAAAGGAGAAGGACAUUUACUUCCCUUCCCCAAAUGCCAUUUACUUUUCUGUCAAAUGUCAUUGAAUUUUAAUAGUAGAAAGUAAAGGAAGAUACUCCUUUUUUAAAUGUUAAGCUUUUAGGAUUAAACAGCAAAUAAAUGAUUAAGUAAAAAUAGGUUUUGAAAAGCUUUAUUAAGUACCAAUGUGAAACAAAAGAAAAUUUUUUAUGAAAUACAAGAUGGAUGGAUUUAUUUGCAAUAUGCCUAUGUAAGACACAGUAACUUAUGUAAGUCUCAAUGGGGCUAGAGUAAAAAUGUGUACAAUGUGAUUUUUUAAAAAGAAAAGUCUAAAUGCAUGUAAUUGGUUCAUGAAAUUUACUCAGAUAUGUAUGUGUGCAGCCUACACAUUAGUGAAGUAUUCCUUUUUUGGGCAUUUUAAAAGAUGAUGGUCUGAUAAUCUCCCAUUUGCAGCAACACAGAUGGACCUUGAGCACAUUAUGCUGAAAGAUAAGUUAGACAGAGAAAAACAAGAACUGUAUGACAUCACUUAUAUGUGGAAUCUAAAAGAGUUAAACCUGUAAAAAGCAGAGUAAAACUGUGGCUACCAGGGGAUGUGGUAGGGGGAUAAGAGUGAUAGUGUUUAAGGUACAAACUUGUAACAAGUAGUAAAUAAGCCAUAGAGAUCUAACACACAGUAUAACAAAUAUAGAUAAGAAUAUUGUACUAUAGUUAUAUAAUGUGAUAAAUAUUGCUAUAUCAGCAAUCAUAUUACAAUAUAUAAAUGUAUCAAAGCAACAUGUUGUACAUCUUAAAUUUACCCAAUGUUAAAUGUCAGAUGUGUUCAAUGAAAAACAAUGAUGGGCUGUAGCUUUUGAAAUAUGUUACAGUUGCUUCAUAACAUUCUCUGGUGAAAAGCCAUUGUCUUGAGAGCUCUCCUGCUGUGUUGUUAAUAAUA